RNAcentral lists this ribosomal RNA (396 nucleotides) under uncultured bacterium. RNAcentral's name for it is "bacterial SSU rRNA". It matches the Rfam family "Bacterial small subunit ribosomal RNA", at positions 29 to 429 of the family's 1533-position model. The record is from RNAcentral.
AUUGAACGCUGGCGGCAUGCCUUACACAUGCAAGUCGAACGGUAACGCGGGGCAACCUGGCGACGAGUGGCGAACGGGUGAGUAAUGCAUCGGAACGUGCCUGGUAGUGGGGGAUAACUGUUCGAAAGAGCAGCUAAUACCGCAUACGACCUGAGGGUGAAAGGGGGGAGUCGCAAGACCUCUCGCUAUUAGAGCGGCCGAUGUCGGAUUAGCUAGUUGGUGGGGUAAAGGGCCCACCAAGGCGACGAUCUGUAGCGGGUCUGAGAGGAUGAUCCGCCACACUGGAACUGAGACACGGUCCAGACUCCUACGGGAGGCAGCAGUGGGGAAUUUUGGACAAUGGGCGCAAGCCUGAUCCAGCCAUGCCGCGUGAGUGAAGAAGGCCUCGGUUGUAAG